AAGACAGCGGAGCACCAGCACCACGCUGUGCUGUGGAGCAUCACGCCCAUCUGAGGCUCAGAGAUGUCAGAGCAGAGAUCCAGGCAGUGGCUCCCUUCCAUUCAGACAAGCAAGGUCCUGAGCCAGAUGAGACUGUGGGCAUCCAGUCUGGGCACAGGGAGGCAAGGGGGAAGUUGCACCUCACAGCUUCUUCUGGAAGACUCCACAGAGACCCCUAGUGGUCUAGGAAGAACAGAACAGCGAUCCCAAUAAGUUGCUAAAUUGUCCAUCAAGGCUGUUCUCAAAACUUCCAAUCAUCCUGCUUCAACCUCCCAGAAUGCUGGGAUUACACUUUUAAAAGGUAA
Fukomys damarensis (Damara mole-rat) is the source of this 344-nucleotide long non-coding RNA. RefSeq lists it as uncharacterized. The record is from RefSeq and is a predicted model, not a curated record. Lineage: Eukaryota; Metazoa; Chordata; Mammalia; Rodentia; Bathyergidae. The transcript is spliced from 3 exons.